Salvia splendens (bonfire salvia) is the source of this 382-nucleotide long non-coding RNA. RefSeq lists it as uncharacterized. The transcript is spliced from 3 exons. The record is from RefSeq and is a predicted model, not a curated record. Lineage: Eukaryota; Viridiplantae; Streptophyta; Magnoliopsida; Lamiales; Lamiaceae.
UAGAACUUUCUGUUGUGAUAUUCUUGUUAUUGUUUUUUUCUAUCCGCCCUCUUGUUCGUUCCUCAUCCAUGAAAACUUAAAAUCUGUUCUAAAAUUGAAUAUUUAAAUCCUAGGGUAAUGUGAUAUCCACUCCUGCGAUAAAAGGCACCAUCCUACCUGCCAUCACCAGGAAGAGCUUACUCGAUGUUGCUAUUAGUCAAGGAUUCCAGGUUGAGGAAAUCAUGUGACAGUGGACGAUUUGCUUGAAGCUGAUGAAGUUUUCUGCACGGGAACUGCAGUUGUUGUUUCACCUGUAGGCAGCAUAACCUAUCUCAAUAAAAGGGUGACUUACGGAGGUAGUGGGCGUGUGUCGCAGCAGCUGUAUUCGGCGCUGACGAGCCUG